GAAGCCCAUUCGUGGUGUUAUAUAGGUGGCUUAAAACCCACUCACUAAUUCAAAGGAAUGACGAUUGAAAAAGCAAAAUCCAAACUAACUUCCUGUUGGAAGUGGUAUGUGUAGACAGAAUGGAAAUCUGUCGAGCGCCAUCAUCCUGCGUAACCAAAAAGGAAAUAUGAGAAUAUUUCGACCUGUACCCUUCCGGACAUGAAUGCUGAAGGCACACUUUUAUCCGCUGGUGUUUCGUAAGCGUGAACACAAAGUUCUUUUUCAUGCUCUGAGUGGCCGCUUCCUUUUGUGUAUGCACGCAUGCGACAUUAAUAUGAACCACUUUCACUGAUGAUUAUAAUUAGACUUGAUCAACUGCGAGUGACACUCAGCGCCGGCCAGUAGAGCGUGCAAGACGCCCGAUGCGAGGAGCAUUAAGAUGAGACGACCGUGUCCCUUCCUCCAUCCCUCGGGGCGCGGCGCUGUCGGUGUAAAGCACGUACGUGACUCAUCCAGCCAGAUACCUACUUAAAACCCACCUGAACAGGAAAUUAACACACCUUGAGGUACAGCGUACAGAUGUACACAUAGCAUGUGACUCGGAGCACACGUGUACACACAAUUUGUGACGCAGCCUAUAAGUGAACAUAUUUCUUUUGACAAAGCGUACAGGUGUGAACAUCUUGUGACGCAACGUACAGGUGUAUUCACAGGUGUAGUCGCGUAUAGGUGUACACAGCAGGGGGAGGGGCGACAUGGCAUAGCUGCCCGUCUCUACUGCCUCUGUACUGACAGUUCCUGUGGUUUGCAUAUUUGUAAACAUGAUUUGUUCAAUCAAGUGGAAUGAGAAUAUGUUGCUUUGUUUUGCUAAGAAUAUAUUAAUCAUACACAGCCUAUAGGACACAAUCACAUAAUGAACAACACCUACGUUUUCAUUGCCUUCACCGGAAGUCCAGUGACCUUUACCGACCUUGUAGGACUUCCGUUUCUUAUUCUCAUGGGGAUCACGGAAAUCGUUCUUAACAUGGUCGUGCUGGUGGCUCUGCUCUCCUCCCGAGACGACGCCUCCAACUCCUUCAUUGUGAACCUGGCCAUGGCCGACGCCCUGACCGGCCUCAUCGUCAUCUACAACAGUGUGUACACUAUGCUUGAGUGGAAAGAUGUCCACGAAUGUCUCUUCAGGUUUGGGCUUCUGAUUGGUGUAAACAUGGCGUCUGUACUCAGCAUUAUGUUGCUCACAGUGGACAGAUAUGUCAAAAUCAAAGACCCAUUCCGUCACAAACGAGUGUUCACGUCCAAGAGAGUGACAGCGUUGAACACCUCUGUGUGGGUGCUGGCCCUGACGCUGGCAUUGCUGCCUGUAGCUGGAUGGAACCGGUCACAACAAGUGAAGCAGACGUGUAACUUCUUCACCGUAUUCUCCACUAGCUAUCUCGUGACUGUUGUGGUCAUAUUUGUGAUACCACUGGUUGCCAUAGUGACAUUGUACCCACAAAUCUACGUUCUGGCCAGGAAGCACGCCAUGGCAAUACACGCCCAGCUGUGUCGGACGAGUUCAGGCAACACGCCCAGGUCGACGCUCAGGUUCGCCAAGACAGUGGGCAUCAUCAUCGGCAUGUAUAUCCUGUGUUGGGCGCCUGUAGGCACAUACCUCCUCCUAGUCCUGAUUGACCGUUCCCUGGUUGAAGACACAGGGGUCGACCUCGGUGCCGUCCUCACCUACACAGCCGGUGUCGGCUUCCUCAACAGCCUCAUCAACCCUCUAGUGUACGCCAUCAAGAUCCCUGCGGUAGGCCAGGUGUUCAGGAGAGUGUGUUGCUGUUGGUGCUGGUCUGAUCCUACCCCUUCCGCCAGACACAGUGUGUACACCCUGGCUAAUGUGGGGCUGGUACCCUUGACUCCGGACGACGCCAGGUGAUGUACGCCAGACACCGGGUGAUGUACGCCAUACACCCUGUGAUGUACGCCAGACACCCGGUGAUGUAUUCCAGACACUGGGUCCGGGUGAUUUACGUCAGACACCUGGUUAUGUACAACAGACACCCUGUGAUGUAAGCCAGACACUUGGUCCGGGUGAUGUAAGCCAGACACUUGGUCUGGGUGAUGUACGCCAGACACCCGGUGAUGUAUUCCAGACACUGGGUCCGGGUGAUGUACGACAGACACCGUUGAUGUACGCCAGACACCCGGUGAUGUAUUCCAAACACUGGGUCCGGGUGAUGUACGACAGACACCUGUUGAUGUACGAUAGACACGUGAUGCCGACAUUAACUGCCAUGGUCAGUUCGUAUGGAAUCCGGAGAGGAAAAUAAUUUAUGAAUAUUAAAUCAGAUUUGACAUAAUAAAAUGUUAAACAGUUUCA
This 2341-nucleotide unclassified non-coding RNA is filed under the name Haliotis rubra (blacklip abalone). RNAcentral's name for it is "dopamine receptor 2-like, transcript variant X1". The record is from RNAcentral. Lineage: Eukaryota; Metazoa; Mollusca; Gastropoda; Lepetellida; Haliotidae.